AGUGAACGCUGGCGGCAGGCCUAACACAUGCAAGUCGAGCGGCAGCGCGGGGCAACCCUGGCGGCGAGCGGCGGACGGGUGAGGAACACAUCGGAAUCUACCCAGUCGUGGGGGAUAACGUAGGGAAACUUACGCUAAUACCGCAUACGACCUGAGGGUGAAAGCAGGGGACCGCAAGGCCUUGCGCGAUUGGAUGAGCCGAUGUCCGAUUAGCUAGUUGGUGGGGUAAAGGCCCACCAAGGCGACGAUCGGUAGCUGGUCUGAGAGGAUGAUCAGCCACACUGGAACUGAGACACGGUCCAGACUCCUACGGGAGGCAGCAGUGGGGAAUAUUGGACAAUGGGCGCAAGCCUGAUCCAGCCAUGCCGCGUGUGUGAAGAAGGCCUCGGGUUGUAAAGCACAUUUGUCCGGGAAGAAAUCCCGUCGGUUAAUACCCGGCGGGGCUGACGGUACCGGAAGAAUAAGCACCGGCUAACUUCGUGCCAGCAGCCGCGGUAAUACGAAGGGUGCAAGCGUUACUCGGAAUUACUGGGCGUAAAGCGUGCGUAGGCGGUUCGUUAAGUCUGCCGUGAAAGCCCCGGGCUCAACCUGGGAAUGGCGGUGGAUACUGGCGAGCUAGAGUACGGUAGAGGGUGGUGGAAUUCCCGGUGUAGCAGUGAAAUGCGUAGAGAUCGGGAGGAACAUCUGUGGCGAAGGCGGCCACCUGGACCAGUACUGACGCUGAGGCACGAAAAGCGUGGGGGAGC
Molecule: ribosomal RNA, 746 nt
Filed under: uncultured bacterium
Lineage: Bacteria
Description: bacterial SSU rRNA
Rfam family: Bacterial small subunit ribosomal RNA
Source: RNAcentral